GGAUUCCUAUUGCGCCCCCCGAGCAGUGAUCUUAUAAGAGUCUCGACUGUAGUUUGAUUGACCUUUCAUUUGGACUUGUCUUGCAGAACAGCUUGUGAAUUAAAAAAAACUCAAUAUUGUUUUUUUUUUGUUUCUCUCCUUCCAGGUUUGGAUCCGUUUGGGCUUCAGUUAAGGACAAUGCUAUCGUCAUCGCUAUUCGUCACGUGCACGAGUGAACAUGGCUCCGGCUGGUCGUUCCUGAGACGUCCUGGUGCCAAAACAUUCCCGUGAACAGCAACAACAACAACAACAACGUCAACAGACGACGACGACGAAUACAGCAGCGACAACGCGUCCAGACUUUUCCUCAACAAAUGCAACAACAACGACGACCGAAGCAGCGAAAAGUUUGCGACGAAUCACUUGUUGCACUACCCUGAAACGAUAACAACAGCAACAACAAUAGAAGCAAAAGAAGCAAAACCGACAACAACUCCAACGGAAGAAGAGGAAAACUUCCAGCGUGCAUAGUUACCGACGUCGACGACGACAACCGGGGAGACCCGGUUGCUGGUGAGUGCGAGAGUGUCAGUGUGAAGUGAGCGGUGAAGUGAAGGUGCAAGUGAAGCAACAAGUGUGUGCUCUGCACAGCAGUGCGGCAGCAGUGCCAAAGCAAUCCGGGGCGGCUAUCGCAGUAAGCCGCGGCGCGGAAUUUCGACGACGGCCGCCGCGUGACGGCAUUCCCGGACGGCGGCAUGGCGGACUGCUCGUACGCCCGGUGCGUCCAGGAACGGCGCUACAUCCGGCGGGAGCUGGCCAAGUGGACGAAAAAUAUGGUGCACAUAGUUGGUAAGUUUUUCCACUGUUUUUUUUUUUGUUUCUUCGAACGCUGUAUACAAUUUUUAGGUACCAACAUUCCCACAUAGAAGAAGCGUUUUUAAGAAAGAAAAACUGCACAUAAAAAUGUGGGGAAAGGAAGCAAAAAAUAAUUGAUUAAAUGACAUCGAGAGCACUCUCACUCCGACGUCGUCGUCGUCGUCGACGGCGGCUAGCCUCGCAUUCGUUUCAACAAGUUCGGAGCGUUCGGCUAUGCGGCAGCUCAGUGAAGCGAAAUCCUUUGUAUACUACUAUUCCGGGGAGAAGCCCCAACCCCCCACCGCCGCGUCGUC
This is a long non-coding RNA of Aedes albopictus (Asian tiger mosquito), 1148 nucleotides long. RefSeq lists it as uncharacterized. The record is from RefSeq and is a predicted model, not a curated record. Lineage: Eukaryota; Metazoa; Arthropoda; Insecta; Diptera; Culicidae. The transcript has 2 exons.